This 478-nucleotide ribosomal RNA is filed under the name uncultured bacterium. RNAcentral describes it as "partial 16S ribosomal RNA". It matches the Rfam family "Bacterial small subunit ribosomal RNA", at positions 28 to 507 of the family's 1533-position model. The record is from RNAcentral.
GAUGAACGCUAGCGGGAGGCCUACACAUGCAAGCCGAGCGGUAUUUGUUCUUCGGAACAGAGAGAGCGGCGCACGGGUGCGGAACACGUGGGCAACCUGCCUUUAUCUGGGGGAUAGCCUUUCGAAAGGAAGAUUAAUACCCCAUAAUAUAUUGAGUGGCAUCAUUUGAUAUUGAAAACUUCGGUGGAUAGAGAUGGGCACGCGCAAGAUUAGAUAGUUGGUGAGGUAACGGCUCACCAAGUCAAUGAUCUUUAGGGGGCCUGAGAGGGUGAUCCCCCACACUGGUACUGAGACACGGACCAGACUCCUACGGGAGGCAGCAGUGAGGAAUAUUGGACAAUGGGUUAGCGCCUGAUCCAGCCAUCCCGCGUGAAGGACGACGGCCCUAUGGGUUGUAAACUUCUUUUGUAUAGGGAUAAACCUACUCUCGUGAGAGUAGCUGAAGGUACUAUACGAAUAAGCACCGGCUAACUCCGUG